This 247-nucleotide ribosomal RNA is filed under the name uncultured bacterium. Its description in RNAcentral is "partial 16S ribosomal RNA". It matches the Rfam family "Bacterial small subunit ribosomal RNA", at positions 60 to 334 of the family's 1533-position model. The record is from RNAcentral.
AGUCGAACGAGGUAGCAAUACCUAGUGGCGGACGGGUGAGUAACGCGUGGGAAUCUGCCUUUAGAUGGGGGAUAACGGGCCGAAAGGUCCGCUAAUACCGCAUAUGCCGCAAGGUGAAAGGAGUAAUCCGUCUAAAGAUGAGCCCGCGUCCGAUUAGCUAGUUGGUAGAGUAAGAGCCUACCAAGGCGACGAUCGGUAGCUGGUCUGAGAGGAUGAUCAGCCACAAUGGGACUGAGACACGGCCCAU